AAGGGCACCACAAGAACGCGUGGAGCAUGUGGCUUAAUUUGACUCAACGCGGGAAAUCUUACCGGGUCCGGACAUACUGAGGAUUGACAGGUUGUUGUAGUUCUCCUUUUUAGGAGUUCUACUUAAAAUAUGCUAGUCCUUUCAUGAUUGUGUGAUAGGUGGUGCAUGGCCGUUCUUAGUUCGUGGAGUGAUUUGUCUGCUUAAUUGCGUUUCAUAAAAAGGACUUAAUUUUCAUCGCUUCGUUUACCUUGCGCUUAGCCCUGGUUAUAUGAUCGUCUGCUAUUUUGGGUUAAGAGUGUGUAGCUCUGUACUUUUUUAAAGACUAUAGCAGUCUGACUCAGCAUUUACUUGCUUCGAUGUCGACUGUUUGUUUUUUCCUGUGUGCAUUGCUCCACUCUUUUCCCUUUGUGCGAUUUGUAUCUAUUUCCAUUCAAUGGGUUUUGCGUCUAUGGUCGAGUGAUUGAUUUUAUACAAGUCCUGAAGGCAACGAACGUGACCGCACCCUCUUGUUGCAUCCUUUCACAUUACACGUGUAACCAACUUGUUUGGUUUAUCGGAUGCUAACUAGAGGGACCGCUGACAACUUUUAAAACAGAGGAAGGUUGCGGCAAUAACAGGUCUGUGAUGCCCUCAGAUGUUCCGGGCUGCACACGUGCUACAAUGAUUGUUGCAGUAAGCAUCUUUCAUUUAACACACAUAGGUGUUUGUGCUUUAUCUGAACUAUGGCUUUUUUUAGCUUGUGUUCGAUAACACAUUCCCUAUUGGCAACCUACUUCGAAAGUCCAGUAGGUAACCAAUUCGAAGUAACGAUUUCCCCUUGCACAUAUCUCAUGUUUCCUUGUUUGUAGUCUUGUUGCUGCUCUGUUCAGUAUACAUUGUUUCUACCUUGGAACAUGUGCUCCUUUAAUUCGUGGUGGGGACAGACCAUUGUUAAUUGUUGGUCUCGGUCUCAACUAGGAAUGCCUUGUACGGGUUGGUUCAACAAACCACCCGGAAUAUGUCCCUGCCCUUUGUACACACCGCCCGUC
Molecule: ribosomal RNA, 1028 nt
Filed under: Foraminifera sp. fruitcake
Lineage: Eukaryota; Foraminifera
Description: bacterial SSU rRNA
Rfam family: Eukaryotic small subunit ribosomal RNA
Source: RNAcentral